This 429-nucleotide ribosomal RNA is filed under the name Bacteroidota bacterium. RNAcentral's name for it is "Bacteroidetes bacterium partial 16S ribosomal RNA". It matches the Rfam family "Bacterial small subunit ribosomal RNA", at positions 355 to 776 of the family's 1533-position model. Lineage: Bacteria; Pseudomonadati; Bacteroidota. The record is from RNAcentral.
UAGGGAAUCUUUGGCAAUGGGGGGAACCCUGACCGAGCAACGCCGCGUGAGUGAAGAAGGUUUUCGGAUCGUAAAGCUCUGUUGUUAAGGAAGAACGAGUGUGAGAAUGGAAAGUUCAUGCUGUGACGGUACUUAACCAGAAAGGGACGGCUAACUACGUGCCAGCAGCCGCGGUAAUACGUAGGUCCCGAGCGUUGUCCGGAAUCAUUGGGCGUAAAGGGUACGUAGGCGGGUAAGCAAGUUAGAAGUGAAAUCCUGUAGCUCAACUACAGUAAGCUUUUAAAACUGCUCAUCUUGAGAUAUGGAAGGGAAAGUGGAAUUCCUAGUGUAGCGGUGAAAUGCGCAGAUAUUAGGAAGAAUACCGGUGGCGAAGGCGACUUUCUGGCCAUAAUCUGACGCUGAGGUACGAAAGCGUGGGUAGCAAACAGG